GGACCUAUAAGGGAAUACAAUCUUGAGUUUCCCGAAGAUGAAAUUAGUGGAAGGCAUUUUUCAUAUGAUUACUACACAAGAAAGUUAAGGAAUGGCGAGUUCAGUGAUCGGAGGUGGUUAGUGUACUCUAAACACGUGAAUAAAGUCUACUGCUUUUGUUGCAAAUUGUUUAAAUCUGGAAAAAGCAAAAGUCUGCUAGCAUCCGAGGGAUUGAAGGAUUGGAGACAUCUUAGUGAGAAGCUCAAAUUGCAUGAGAAUAGCGUUGAGCAUAUCACUAACAUGAAUACUUGGAAUGAGGUAAGGCUGAGGCUAAGUAAGAAGGAAACAAUUGAUAAAGACAUGCAAGCAAGGGAGAAGGAGCGAUGGAGACUUGUUUUAAUUACAAUUGUUGCUGCUGUGAAAUUUCUUGCUAAACAUAGUCUGGCUAUUCGAGGAUCGAAUGAGAAAUUAUAUCAAGAU
RNAcentral lists this ribosomal RNA (459 nucleotides) under Triticum aestivum (bread wheat). Its description in RNAcentral is "partial small subunit ribosomal RNA". Lineage: Eukaryota; Viridiplantae; Streptophyta; Magnoliopsida; Poales; Poaceae. The record is from RNAcentral.